GAUGAACGCUGGCGGCGUGCCUAACACAUGCAAGUCGAGCGAACGGACGAGAAGCUUGCUUCUCUGAUGUUAGCGGCGGACGGGUGAGUAACACGUGGAUAACCUACCUAUAAGACUGGGAUAACUUCGGGAAACCGGAGCUAAUACCGGAUAAUAUUUUGAACCGCAUGGUUCAAAAGUGAAAGACGGUCUUGCUGUCACUUAUAGAUGGAUCCGCGCUGCAUUAGCUAGUUGGUAAGGUAACGGCUUACCAACGCAACGAUGCAUAGCCGACCUGAGAGGGUGAUCGGCCACACUGGAACGGAGACACGGUCCAGACUCCUACGGGAGGCAGCAGUAGGGAAUCGUCCGCAAUGGGCGAAAGCCUGACGGAGCAACGCCGCGUGAGUGAUGAAGGUCUUCGGAUCGUAAAACUCUGUUAUUAGGGAAGAACAUAUGUGUAAGUAACUGUGCACAUCUUGACGGUACCUAAUCAGAAAGCCACGGCUAACUACGUG
This 497-nucleotide ribosomal RNA is filed under the name uncultured bacterium. RNAcentral's name for it is "partial 16S ribosomal RNA". It matches the Rfam family "Bacterial small subunit ribosomal RNA", at positions 28 to 507 of the family's 1533-position model. The record is from RNAcentral.